CUCCAAUAGCGUAUAUUUAAGUUGUUGCAGUUAAAAAGCUCGUAGUUGGACUUUGGGAUGGGCCGGCCGGUCCGCCUAUGGUGUGCACCGGUCGUCUCGUCCCUUCUGUCGGCGAUGCGCUCCUGGCCUUAACUGGCCGGGUCGUGCCUCCGGCGCUGUUACUUUGAAGAAAUUAGAGUGCUCAAAGCAAGCCUACUGUCACGGGCCUAAUUUUAGCCACGUGCGGACAGCUUAACACUCACGAUAUCGAGGCUAAACUUCAGUCCUUAACCGCCCUAAAUUCGUCCCAAGAACUUUCGAACACUCACACGAACUCACGAGGAAAUAGUAAGAAAGACACAAGAUUUUGGGAGGCCCGGAGAGCCAAUUUUCAGAUUGUAUUUCUUUAGUAUUUGGAGUGAAUGAUCUGCCCAAGAGGGCCUUUACAAGCUAUUUAUAAUGUCCCUUAGUCAAGGGAUGCAAUUAAUGCUAGUCAACAUUACUCUAUUUGGACAUACAAGCUAUGAACAAUUAAAAAGGGCUUGGUCUAGUAUGCUGAUUCUGGACAGCAGCCACUGCUCAGCUGGUCAAGGUUUCCAAACCCAAUAAAUGUUGACCCGAGCUUGUCUUUCGACCUCCCAAAUAUGCCCCCACGUGGGCCUUGUCCCGAGACGUCGAGGGAGCCCCAUCGGGUUCCGAAAUGUGUCCGAAACGCACGGAAUUGUGCCAAAAACGGGAUGAAUUUAAUGGGUAGUGACGCGGUGCGUCACACUCUCCCCCACCUGAUUUGGCGACGACCGCGGCGCCACAUAGCUGCAAAUACUUGUGGACCUUCUCCUUGAACGGCCACAAGUCUUCGUAUUUCUCCCACGACGCCUCCUCGGGUGAUUGUCCCUUCCAAUGGACUAGGAAUUGGGCACUUGAAUUGCCCCAACCUUUUCCUCGCACCAAUUGAUGAUCAAUGAUGUCCUCGAUUUGUUUAUCCGUGGCAGCGGACGUCAUGAAGAUUUGGGCCCGACUAGACUUACCCCGCUCCACGUCUUCCUUGUCUUCGAAGUAUGGUUUCAAUUUGCUUGCAUGGAAGACGGGAUAGAUCUUUAAAUGCGAUGGCAUGUCCAACUUAUAUGAAAUUUUGCCAACCUUGGCAACAAUCUCGAAUGGACCCUCGUACCUUCGGAUCAAACUUUGAUUGACGCUCCUCAAUGACUUGAAUUGCCUCGGAUUGAGCUUGACCAUCACUUUAUCUCCGAUUCGGUAGUGGACUGGACGGCGGCUACGGUCAGCAAAUUUCUUCAUUUUGCGGGCUGCUUUGUCAAGAUACGACCUUGCCAUAUCGACUUGUUCCUCCCAAGCCUUUGCCAUAUGAUAAGCACCCGGAUUCCUCAUUCCGGCGUUGACCGGUAAGGAUUGAGGAGUGUUUGGUUGCUGCCCCGUUGCAAGCUCGAAUGGACUACGACCCGUGGACUCACUCCGUGUUGCUGCAACCAUCGCUCCCAACUUACUUAACGAAGGACAAGAUCUCGCAAAGUGAGAUGUAUCCCCGCAAAGGUAGCAGCCGCUAUCGCGGUUAGCCACACCUUUCUUCUUCUCCUCGUAGUUCUUGCGGAACGACGAUGGCUGGUUGCGUUCGCCUUUGAACUCACGGUUUUUGUUGGGAAUAAACUUGUCUUUGCCUUUGUCCCCACGAUCUCCCUUGGCAGCAAUGGGCUUGUUCCGACUAUCCUUCGACUUGGCAUAAUCGGCAUGAAAAUCAGUCAAGGAUUCCGCCACUUUGAUGGCCUCAUCCACGGUCUUGACGUUGCGCCUCCUCAAUUCUUGUUUGGCCCAAUUUUGGAGGCCAUCAAGAAAGAAGAAGAGCAAAUCUUCACUGCUGAAACUCGUCACAAGAAGUGAGAGUUUCGUAAACUCCCUCACGUAGUUAUGAAUGGAAGAAGUUUGUUUAAGUUCCCUCAACUUCCGUCGAGCCUCAUCUACAACGUUUUGAGGGUAAAAUUGUUCCUUCAACUCGUCCGUAAACUGAUCCCAAUCAGUUAUGGUGCAAAGACCCCUCUCCAUGUCCACCUUUUUCCUACGCCACCACAACAUUGCGACGUCACUGAGGUACAUGGUUGCAAUUCGGAUCCUUGCUGCCCCGUCAACAAUCUUGACGUGCUCAAAAUAUGACUCUAGUUGCCAUAUGAAGUUCUCUACGUCUUGAGCGUUCCUUUCACCCUUAAACACGUUGGGUUUAGGAGCCUCAAUACGAACAUCAUGGUAUGCCACGGAACCGUGGUUUCCACCAACACGGGCUGCUUCCAGUUGUUGCUUCAAAUCAGCAACUUCCUCCUGCAAAGCGGACUGCCCAAGCAUCACCUCGGACAGUUUCGCCCCGAACUCUCCGUGUAGCGUCGAUAAGGCUUCCGUGAGCUUGAGUUCCAAGCUGGUCAGCCCCUCUUUGUGCUCUUCAUUUUGCUCGGACAAGUCGGCUUUGACUUCGUUCAGCCCUUCAAGAGCAGCAGCCUCAAGGGUACCAACGUUGGACUCAAGAGUCUUGAAGCGAUGGCCCAAAACCGCUAGGCCAGCCUCCGUGCUAACAAUUCGCUCAUCGAGAGAGCCGGAUGCUGAACCUUCGCCAUCUUUCACGUUAGUGACAGCCUCACUAACUGGAAGUUGGGCUUCAUCCUUGUUCCUACUCUUGUCACAUUUUCGGGUCUUGGUUUUGCCCAAGUUGUCUCCGCCGUGAACCUCCUCGUCGCCGUCGUAUGCCAUGUUCAAAAUCUGCUCUGAUACCACUUUGUCACGGGCCUAAUUUUAGCCACGUGCGGACAGCUUAACCUUCACGAUAUCGAGGCUAAACUUCAGUCCUAAACCGCCCUAAAUUCGUCCCAAGAACUUUCGAACACUCACACGAACUCACGAGGAAAUAGUAAGAAAGACACAAGAUUUUGGGAGGCCCGAAGAGC
This 2921-nucleotide long non-coding RNA is filed under the name Capsicum annuum. RNAcentral's name for it is "long non-coding RNA (CANN_LNC006086)". Lineage: Eukaryota; Viridiplantae; Streptophyta; Magnoliopsida; Solanales; Solanaceae. The record is from RNAcentral.